AGUGAACGCUGGCGGUAGGCCUAACACAUGCAAGUCGAACGGCAGCACAGUAAGAGCUUGCUCUUACGGGUGGCGAGUGGCGGACGGGUGAGGAAUACAUCGGAAUCUACUUUUUCGUGGGGGAUAACGUAGGGAAACUUACGCUAAUACCGCAUACGACCUACGGGUGAAAGCAGGGGAUCUUCGGACCUUGCGCGAUUGAAUGAGCCGAUGUCGGAUUAGCUAGUUGGCGGGGUAAAGGCCCACCAAGGCGACGAUCCGUAGCUGGUCUGAGAGGAUGAUCAGCCACACUGGAAAUGAGACACGGUCCAGACUCCUACGGGAGGCAGCAGUGGGGAAUAUUGGACAAUGGGCGCAAGCCUGAUCCAGCCAUACCGCGUGAGUGAAGAAGGCCUUCGGGUUGUAAAACCCUUUUAUUGGGAAAGAAAAACAGCAGGUUAAAACCCCGCUGUCCUGACGGUACCUAAAGAAUAAGCAACGGCUAACUUCGUG
Molecule: ribosomal RNA, 492 nt
Filed under: uncultured bacterium
Lineage: Bacteria
Description: partial 16S ribosomal RNA
Rfam family: Bacterial small subunit ribosomal RNA
Source: RNAcentral